AAUCUUCGGCAAUGGGCGAAAAGCCUGACCGAGCGACGCCGCGUGGGGGAAGAAGGUUUUCGGAUCGUAAACCCCUGUCCUUGGGGACGAAGGUGACGGUACCCAAGGAGGAAGCCCCGGCUAACUACGUGCCAGCAGCCGCGGUAAUACGUAGGGGGCGAGCGUUGUCCGGAAUCACUGGGCGUAAAGGGUGCGUAGGCGGCUAUUUAAGUCCUGUGUGAAAGGCUCCGGCUCAACCGGGGAGUUGCAUGGGAAACUGGGUGGCUUGAGUGCUGGAGAGGGUUGCGGAAUUCCCGGCGUAGCGGUGGAAUGCGUAGAUAUUGGGAGGAACACCAGUGGCGAAGGCGACUACCUGGACGAAAACUGACGCUGAGGCACGAAAGCUAGGGGAGCAAAC
RNAcentral lists this ribosomal RNA (397 nucleotides) under uncultured bacterium. RNAcentral's name for it is "partial 16S ribosomal RNA". It matches the Rfam family "Bacterial small subunit ribosomal RNA", at positions 360 to 773 of the family's 1533-position model. The record is from RNAcentral.